This 252-nucleotide ribosomal RNA is filed under the name uncultured bacterium. RNAcentral's name for it is "partial 16S ribosomal RNA". It matches the Rfam family "Bacterial small subunit ribosomal RNA", at positions 524 to 776 of the family's 1533-position model. The record is from RNAcentral.
UACGGAGGAUGCGAGCGUUAUCCGGAUUUAUUGGGUUUAAAGGGUGCGUAGGCGGGCUUUUAAGUCAGCGGUAAAAAUUCGGGGCUCAACCCCGUCCGGCCGUUGAAACUGGGGGUCUUGAGUGGGCGAGAAGAAGGCGGAAUGCGUGGUGUAGCGGUGAAAUGCAUAGAUAUCACGCAGAACCCCGAUUGCGAAGGCAGCCUUCCGGCGCCCUACUGACGCUGAGGCUCGAAAGCGUGGGGAGCAAACAGG